CACGUAUGGUGCAAGCGUUAUCCGGAUUUACUGGGUGUAAAGGGAGCGCAGGCGGCACGGCAAGCCUGAUGUGAAAGCCCGCGGCCCAACCGCGGGACUGCAUUGGGAACUACCGGGCUGGAGUGCCGGAGAGGUAGGCGGAAUUCCUAGUGUAGCGGUGAAAUGCGUAGAUAUUAGGAGGAACACCAGUGGCGAAGGCGGCCUACUGGACGGUGACUGACGCUGAGGCUCGAGAGCGUGGGGAGCAAACAGG
This 253-nucleotide ribosomal RNA is filed under the name uncultured bacterium. Its description in RNAcentral is "partial 16S ribosomal RNA". It matches the Rfam family "Bacterial small subunit ribosomal RNA", at positions 524 to 776 of the family's 1533-position model. The record is from RNAcentral.